This 100-nucleotide transfer RNA is filed under the name Echria macrotheca. RNAcentral's name for it is "tRNA-Asp". It matches the Rfam family "tRNA". From Rfam's summary of the family: Transfer RNA (tRNA) molecules are approximately 80 nucleotides in length. Their secondary structure includes four short double-helical elements and three loops (D, anti-codon, and T loops). Further hydrogen bonds mediate the characteristic L-shaped molecular structure. tRNAs have two regions of fundamental functional importance: the anti-codon, which is responsible for specific mRNA codon recognition, and the 3' end, to which the tRNAs corresponding amino acid is attached (by aminoacyl-tRNA synthetases). tRNAs cope with the degeneracy of the genetic code in two manners: having more than one tRNA (with a specific anti-codon) for a particular amino acid; and 'wobble' base-pairing, i.e. permitting non-standard base-pairing at the 3rd anti-codon position. Lineage: Eukaryota; Fungi; Ascomycota; Sordariomycetes; Sordariales; Schizotheciaceae. The record is from RNAcentral.
UCUCUGGUAGUAUAGUGGUCAGUAUGUGAGCUUGUCAAGCGCUUUCUAGUAAAAAGGUCUGACAUCGCUCGAGACCCGGGUUCAAUUCCCGGCCGGAGAG